AUAGAAUCCAGGACAAGGCAGUGAAGUCUAUAUCAUAUUCUUAUGGCACUUCUUUCAGCUAAAGAGAUCCAGUCCGUACUUGUUCUGUGACUCAUGUUAUCUGAAUCAUUUUAAAAUGCUACAACUGAAACUGUAUUUUCAAAAAAAACCCUAGCAGCUCUAUAGACAAUGAUACUGCGUUAAAUCUUCUCUCUGUACCGGGUUAAAGUCAAGUCUGACCUUCCAUCUCCUUCCAUUCCAAUCUCUUCUCUGUUUAAAAAGUCUAGGCAGAAACAGAAGAAGAGGUGAAGUAUCCCUAAAGUAUUAUAGGCAAGGUAAAAAAAGAUGACCAGGAAACAGAUCAGAUAAGUUGGUGCCAACAGUCCAUGCCGCAGUAUCAUUCAGUGCUUCUUUGCCGAUAUUGCAGUUAUCUGAUACGGUAAUUUUAGUUAAUGCACUGUCAGGCACAAGCAGUACAAAAACACGCAGCUGUAUUUAAACACCUGCCCACUAAAGCAACAAAAAUAUGCCUCGCUUGAGGUGUCCAUCAUCACUAAGCCGUUGCUUGAUUUGCAAUUCCAAAUGCAUCUAAGCCACAUGGGAAUGCUGCUAUAAACCACACGCCUUGUUAAGCAUCUUUGCUUUCUGGAUGGUUACUCUGUGUAGCACUGCUACUGAGUGAGCGACUGAUAUAUUGCUAGGUGUUAGAAACAUGUUAGAUGAACCCUCUGCGUGUCAGCGUGUCGAUGGCUGCCAGUCUGGAGAUGCCCCCUAGAGCAUCCACCCUCAGUGCUGUGAGCUGCAGUGAAGGAAACGGCGACAAGGACAGGAAAGCAGAGAUGAUCAGAGCAGCAGCAGGAGACGAGCAUUGCUGUCAAGGGCAGCCCAGCUGACCCCAGGACUGUCCCUGCUUUAGAAGUGGUGUGUGUACGCGGUGUGGAGGAAGCUGUUACAUGUGUGAGAAACCUCCAGGGAAAGAGCACAGUGCUGGACUGGGUAAGACAAGGGAGAGGGAGACCUGGUUUCUGCCCUCGGCAUAUUUUGAGGAAAUCAUCACAGACCCUUACUUCCAGGAACAUCCAACCGUCUGCACCUUGAAGUAUCCAUCCUGUCUCCUGGCGCUUCAGGCUCUUUAUCCUUCCUCCUCUCUAUCCCCAGUGCAUCCCAUUGUGAUUCCAAAAUGUAACUUAAUGUCGGUGUAGACAAGGUGGUGUAGGAUAUGCAACACAGCAUGGCACAGGAAUGAGAUACCAAAAAAUGCCUAACCCGCCGUGGGAAGUUUUUUGGGGGGGUUGUCUAACUGUCCUUUGGCUGGGGUUUUGGGAAUAGCUUAAGGGACUUAAAUGUACUUGUGAGAUAUAAAGACUGGACUUGUAAUGGGUGUGUAAAUGUUUUGUAGUACUCAAUCUUCUAACUUUCAGCCCCUGCCUCCAGCCCAAGGAGCUGGCUGUAUGUUUGCUCUGGCAUCCAAGCUGCACGUUGAAAGCCCUUCAGGCUGAUAGAAGGGAGAAGGCAGGUGGACCAUGCUGGGCAAGUGACCAGAGCGAGCUGCGUGCUUUUCUUUUAUUCCAGUUUUCCAUGGCGCCUCCCCAGCCGAGGUCAGCAAGCCAAGCCUGACUCACGGGUGGGCUGCCCUGCUAGAGAACAAUGUAGAUGUGCAGCGAGAGAUUAGUUAACAAAAGCUUAGGAGUGUCUCCGUUCAAAUUAAGUAACAGAUGGACCUGGUCUGUGUGGGAGCUGAUAACGGUUAUAAAAAGGCCAUCACCAGACUGUGGCCAGCCCACCCUGGAAAAAACCCACUCAGUUGUAAAUCCUCUGUGCUGUUAUAGCUGCUUGCGCUAGUAAGGCUUUAUUUUUACCAGCUAUCAUAAAACAGCAUGACUUAUUUUAGAUGCAUGGCUUGUACCGCUCAGUUAAAAGGGUGCCAGCUCUCUGAUAGACACCUACAAACAGAGGAGAUGUGCCCGCCUGGGCCGGGAACAUGAAGCAUAAUUAACCUAGAGAAGGCAAACGCAACAUCACAGAGCAGUGUUUGGCAUUCCACAUAGUUCUGGCUUUUGCUUUUCUCCUCUCUUCCACAGCUAGCCAAUGGCCCUCAUUUCUUCUGAAAUGCUGAUAAUUAGGGAGUCGCUGGCGGUCUCAGCAGUACCAGGACCCCACAGGACAAAGUUGCCUGGAAGAGCAUUGAGCAUGGAAGCCAGCGUAGGUGUUGCCUGGUGAAGACCACACGGCGCUUUCUAAUGGUUUCCCAAAGUUUGCUCGCGUCACGUUGGGAUGCAGCUGCAGAUACACUGGCUCACGCAUCCAUCUGACAAGGGCUCCUGGAGGACUGAAUGUACGUGCAAGACGGGAAGGAAGCAAUACUUGGGUGGAUGACUAAUACCUAAUACUUAGAAGAGAUUAAGAUGGAAGCAGCAAGGCCAGAGAGCUUCCAGCACGUCGGAUUGCAUCUCUUUCUGUAAGGUAUUUCGGGCCAUCUUCAGCUCAAAGAAAAGAUGGAAAGAGUUAAAACUUGCCCCUUAAAACCUGGGAUGAAGGGUAAUGGAGAGGGACCAGAAAGGAAACAUGAAAAGGAAUGCUGUGCAUAGAAGAGGCUGUUAUUAUCAGCCCUUGCAUUCCUGAAUAGUUUCUCCCUUCCCAAGAAAGAAACGCAAGGCUGAACCGAUAGUCUCAUUUUCCUUGGGUAAGCAACACGGAACAGGGCAUGAAGCUCCUGCGUUGCAUUAGAUACCACUAACCGGGGGAUUAAAUCCUGCCCAGAUAAUUUAUUUUGCCUUGCUACUGGCCUCAGAGGUCAAGCCCCUGACACAGAUGCUCUGGGCUCACAAUGUUACGCUGACUCUCCAGGAGGAAAAAACAGGGGCAGGUGGCCUUGCUGUGUGGCUUUGAGGGAAGGUCGUUAGGCAGGAGAGCUUCUAAUUACGUCUGCACCAAGACUCUGGCAAAAACCAGAAGAGAAAUAAGGCAACAAGGAAACAAUUACAGAUCACUUGGCUAGGAAGGUAUCAAAACAGUCACGUUGUACCAAGCGCCGUUCUUGCCGUUUUCAUUAACAAAUGGACAGCAUAAUUACAUCUUCAGACUGGUCUGGCUCACAGCCAACACAGACCGUGAAAAUUAGUGCGUUCACAGAAAAUGGGACAUGAGGGGAUCUCAGGAGGCCAGCGCAUCCCCACCUCUGCUUCAGGGCAGGAAAACCCAUGGGAUGCAACUGAAUUCUGCCCUGGAUGUCUGCCGAGGUUCUUGCAUGCGGUGUUUCCCCGUCAUCGUUUUUAUCUGUUAAAAUGCUGUACAUUUACCAGUUUAAGCCUCAGUCCCUUCAAAUUCAGUGUCCCCUGCAAUUCAGUAAAGAUGUACGGUUCCAGUUCACUGGAGGGAAAAACUGAGGAAUGGGAAGUCACAGGAAGAAUAAGGAACACGCUCUCUCAGCCGGCAGUGGAUGUGACAUUCUGCGAUCUCUCUACUGGAUGAGAGCGCCUUGCAACAGCAAAAGCAAAGCCAAGGAACAAAAAUGGUGAGCGCUGAAAAGAAGUGGGAAUAUUUGCACAGGGCAGAUUUGAAACCAACCCUUCCUGCCUAUUCCCACUUGCCUUCCAUUGUUUCCCUAGCCAGCCCCAAGAAUUGCCACACAGGCGCAUCCUACGUUAUUUCUCACUUCAGCAAGUCCCUUUCCUCCCCAAAGUGGCAGAUGCUGAUACCAAAUUAGUGCAAAGUGGGAGGGAACCAGCAGAUAACUGUGAUGAGAGCCAGGGGCAAUGGUCUUCCUCCUGUCCUUUCCCUUCCUCCUGGCAGGGCUCUUGUUGCAGCAGACAGAUGCUAAGGGAAGUCUCCAGGGCAGUCAGGCCAGUGAGACAUGGCAGGGAUCUCUGGCCAGGAUCAGGGAGACAGAAUGAUCCAUAAUGGGAAAAGGGGCAAGUUCCUUUAUUUUUGUCUUGUGUGGGAAUUUGACUCAAGGAUUGCUGUGAAUCUCAUAAGCCAAAGUGACGUUUUCCAGGCUGAGCGCCAGCCAACGCACAGACUUGAUCUCAGCAGGUAUUUGACUUCGACAGGAGCUGGGAUGCUCGGCACCUGCCUGACCCUGGCUUUUGAUGAGGACACAUAUCUCAAAAGCUGCCUGAAAUGCAAAGACAGGAAAUAAGCGGAUAUGCUAUCAGCACCACGCUUUGCAAUACUCUUUAGUGGCUGGCUGUGUCCCAGCCAUCAAUACAGAGACUCGCAGGGUUUUAGCCUAUAAUCCUCUAUUCCUCUGUCUGUGACUCUAAUCUCUUGAUCCUCCGUUCUCCUCCAGCCUAGAGCUUGACCAGCAAAACACAGAUCUGAAGUUCUGCUUAUCAGCCACCGACCAUGUCAUCUUCCUGUGGAAAAUGGGAGUUGGGAAGAGAGUAGCAGUCAUCAGAGCCAAGAGCUGAGAGUAGGCUAGAGAAGGGAACAGGAGAAGGCGUGAGCAAGCACACAGAGAAAUCAUUUAUGACAUGACUGAAAACAGCUCUCUCUUUAAGAACAUUUUCUCCAAUUUUACAGUAUUAUUUUUGUCUUUUUUGUGUGCAUAAUUCUAGCCUCGGGUAUAAACCACAAUUGUCUAGUUAAUGGCGUUGCACAAAACGUACAAAUGAACAUUGCAAGAGAAUGACUGCAGGCGCCAGGGGAACAUUCACAUCUGCCUAUGAGCGUGCGACCAAGAGCCUGUGAAACUACUGCCGUCAUUCCAUGCUGGAGAGUUCCUCCAAGGGAAGCCGGUAUUGUUCAUAAAAGUUGCAACUAAAAUCGGACUGGAUACAGCUUAAGGAAAUACCUCUCAGAGGAGAACCCUGCCUUGGCUGCUGGAAACAAACGAGGAAAGGACUCUUGAGGACUCGGGAUCCUGGUUGGUCUCCGGAAAUCUUUCCCCUUGCUAACUCCCUCCCACCACUUCAGGCCUGCUCCGUAAGGAGUUCAUGAACCUUCUCCGGAUCAUCAGGGCUUGAUGCAAUCAACUGUGAAGCAUUAGCUCUAAAUAUACGACUGGGAGGCCAAUUCUGCUUCAACACACAAAGACUCAUCGCAGAAGAUGGUAAAGCAGCAAGCGCAAUUUGCAAGAGAAACUUAAAUAAUAAUCCAAGCCGCAAGGAAAGCAGGAGCAAGUGGGGGUGAUUUCUGGCGAUUCAACAUGUGUUCCCGGUGCAAACCCUCAGUGUGUGGACAGAUAAUUGAAAAACAGCUGCAGCAGGCCAAGAGACCCAGGAUUCAACUCAUACAAGGAAAAUAAACAGGUCAGGAAAAGAACCUAAGUUCACGAUCAGAGCAACAUCUCAGUCCACCGAGCUCUUUCUCCUCACUAAAGAAAACACAUUUUACUCUUUGAAUCUGCUUGUGCUUCAGUAACCGAGUAAUUCCCAGAAGUAUUCAGAGCAAGAGGGAAUGUGCUGGUGUCACGUUCUUUGUCAACAGCUGUAAAGUAGAUGUGCAUCCAACUCCUCUUUGGUGGUGAUGCCAGAUAUUGCUUACCCAAAUAGGAACACCAAGCCCUUCCCAAGAAUUUUUUUGAAGAGGUUAUUAAGUGUCUGAUUUUGGCAUGGCUCUCAAAGCCGUUCGUCCCUACUUUUUACUGCCUGUUGAAAAGAAAGCAAUACUGCAAAUACUUCCCAUCAGAAAAUGCCAACAAGCAACUUAUCAUAACUGCAAUAGAGCUAACAACAUUUCCACCAAGUGAUUUUUGGCACUGACAGCUGACUCGGAACAGUUGUUGGUGGCUGGGACAGAUGGAUAUUAAAAAGAAAAGAAAAAAAAAAAAGAAAUGAGAACUUCUACUCUGUACAGAGUUUGAGAAACCUUUUACAAAAUCCAACAUAUUACCAAAACCUCAGAUUCAAAUCAAAGGGAGAUUUGAAUAUACUGAGCUUUAAAACUGAAACGUGCCAAGAACCUGCCCUAUCUCCCUAUCAAGGAUUAUAAUGUAUCAACAUGUUUUAUUUUCAAUAGAAAAUACUUGAGAGUUUUAGGAAAGUCUCUACAGCUCUGCCUUCAGCACAGCAUGCGAAAUCCUCAAAAUCCAAAUGUUUGUUUCCACGGGGAAGCUUGCAACAGAGACCUUGAAGUAGGACGUAACAUCGAUAUCAACUGGGAGCAUCCCAAUCCAGAGUUAGCACCUGGAAGACUAUGCGGUGCUCCAGGGUCAGGAACUCCCAGUUUCUUCUGCUGAAACUGUUUCUGCUACAGACCACAGCAAAGCAAGCGAACAACAGACCCUGGAGCCCAUGACACCCGUCUCAUCGCAAAUGUGUGUCAGAGUCAUCUUCUCACCUCUCCACUCACUUUUUUGGUAAGCAGUGCCCAAAUCUCACUUUAUUGGAGGCCCAAGAGGCUCCGCAAGUUUUUUCAACUCACUGGAGAAUUUUUUUGUCCUUAGGUAAACUGUUGGAAAUAUUUCAAUACACUUCAGUCUUGAGUCGACCCGAAACAGUUAUCGGGGGUGUGUAACACACGUGCAUGCAUGCACAGCCCCGUGCAUUUUAGUAAUCAGUUGCUGGUUGUCACCCUAACCCCACUCUGUCCCGUUUUCUCCUCCUGCCAUCUGGGCGUGGGGGGGGGGGGAGGGCAAUGCAAGCCCACCGGCUGCUGUCCCCCUCCUCGUCCCCCCACUAUUAAUAGCCAGACAACAAAUGAGCCCAAAUUCAUUCCUGAGCGGAAUUAGCAAAUGUUUUUGCAAUUAAAACUGCAAACAUUCAUGCGGGGCCCCCGGAACAAUAGGCGCCUGUGCCUGGUCUUGAAUAGGCACUAGUGUCCGCCCUGCCUGCCUGCCGAGCCUGCACAUUCCUGGCACCCUCAGCCCUGGGCCCGCUCCUCGCUGCGCUGGGGGUUUGGGAUGUUUCCCCCCUCUCUCGUCCCGUCCCGUCCCCCCACCACCACUCCCCGCAGCACCACGCUCCCGCCGGGGGAGCCGGUGAGGUCGGGGCUGGCCCCGGACCCCACGGCACGGCCCGACCCCCGGCCCGGCUGUGAGCAGCCCGUCCCUGCAUCUCCCCGGGCCGGGGUGCGCAUCCUCCCCCUCCCUGCGCCAGGACAAGGGCCGGGGCACCGCAUCCCCCUUCUCCGGUUCCCCGGGACCCCGACCGGGGGCACCGCAGCAUCCCUCUUCCCCAGGACCCAGACCGGGGGCAGACCAUCCCCCUUCCCCGGGACCCCGACCGGGCCAGCGCAUCCCCCUUCCCCGGGACCCCGAUCGGGCCAGGGCAUUCCCCCUUCCCCUGUUCCCUGGGUCCCCGGGCAGCGCAUCCCCCUUUCCCGGUUCCCCAAGACGCUGACCGGGGACAGCGCAUCCCCCUUCGCCGGGACCCCGACCGGGCCAGCGCAUCCCCCUUCCCCGGUUCCCCAGGACCCAGACGGGGGGCAGAACAUCCCCCUUCCCCGGGACCCCGGGCAGCGCAUACCCCUUCCCCGGUUCCCCGGGACUCCAACCGGAGGACGGACAUCCCCCUUCCCCGGUUCCCCGGGACCCCGACCGGGGGACAGGGCAGCAUCCCCCUUCCCCGGGACCCCGACCAGGGACAGCGCAUCCCCCUUCCCCGGUUCCCCGGGACCCCGACCCGGGGCAGCGCGUCCCCGGGCCGCGCCGCGGCGGGUCCCGCGGGCCGGGGUGUCCCCGCUGUCGCCUGCUGCGGUGGCCGG
Long non-coding RNA from Falco peregrinus (peregrine falcon), 7623 nucleotides. RefSeq lists it as uncharacterized. The transcript has 7 exons. The record is from RefSeq and is a predicted model, not a curated record. Lineage: Eukaryota; Metazoa; Chordata; Aves; Falconiformes; Falconidae.